This 301-nucleotide ribosomal RNA is filed under the name uncultured bacterium. RNAcentral's name for it is "partial 16S ribosomal RNA". It matches the Rfam family "Bacterial small subunit ribosomal RNA", at positions 509 to 808 of the family's 1533-position model. The record is from RNAcentral.
CAGUAGCCGCGGGAAUACGUAGGUCCCGAGCGUUGUCCGGAUUUAUUGGGCGUAAAGCGAGCGCAGGCGGUUAGAUAAGUCUGAAGUUAAAGGCUGUGGCUUAACCAUAGUACGCUUUGGAAACUGUUUAACUUGAGUGCAAGAGGGGAGAGUGGAAUUCCAUGUGUAGCGGUGAAAUGCGUAGAUAUAUGGAGGAACACCUGUGGCGAAAGCGGCUCUCUGGCUUGUAACUGACGCUGAGGCUCGAAAGCGUGGGGAGCAAACAGGAUUAGAUACCCCAGUAGUCCCUGUCUCUUAUACA